Molecule: ribosomal RNA, 253 nt
Filed under: uncultured Acidobacteriota bacterium
Lineage: Bacteria; Pseudomonadati; Acidobacteriota
Description: uncultured Acidobacteria bacterium partial 16S ribosomal RNA
Rfam family: Bacterial small subunit ribosomal RNA
Source: RNAcentral
UACGGGGGGGGCAAGCGUUGUUCGGAAUUACUGGGCGUAAAGGGCUCGUAGGCGGCCGCCGAAGUCGGACGUGAAAUCCCAUGGCUCAACCAUGGAACUGCGUCCGAAACUGGGCGGCUUGAAUCCAAGAGAGGGAUGCGGAAUUCCAGGUGUAGCGGUGAAAUGCGUAGAUAUCUGGAGGAACACCGGUGGCGAAGGCGGCAUCCUGGAUUGGUAUUGACGCUGAGGAGCGAAAGCCAGGGGAGCAAACGGG